This 487-nucleotide ribosomal RNA is filed under the name uncultured bacterium. Its description in RNAcentral is "bacterial SSU rRNA". It matches the Rfam family "Bacterial small subunit ribosomal RNA", at positions 28 to 507 of the family's 1533-position model. The record is from RNAcentral.
GAUGAACGCUAGCGGGAGGCUUAACACAUGCAAGUCGAGGGGCAUCACGAGGUAGCAAUACUUUGGUGGCGACCGGCGCACGGGUGAGUAACACGUAUGCAACCUUCCCUGUACAGGGGGAUAACCCGGAGAAAUUCGGACUAAUACCCCAUGAUGAUAUUAUGGGGGCAUCCUUUAAUAUUUAAAGCUCUGGCGGUACAGGAUGGGCAUGCGCGACAUUAGCUAGUUGGUAAGGUAACGGCUUACCAAGGCGACGAUGUUUAGGGGACCUGAGAGGGUUGUCCCCCACACUGGUACUGAGACACGGACCAGACUCCUACGGGAGGCAGCAGUGAGGAAUAUUGGUCAAUGGGCGCAAGCCUGAACCAGCCAUCCCGCGUGAAGGAAGAAUGCGCUACGCGUUGUAAACUUCUUUUCCAGGGGGAGAAUAAUCCUGUCGUGACAGGACUUGACGGUACUCUGGGAAUAAGCAUCGGCUAACUCCGUG